GAUGUAUUCUUAUACAACUUUAAUCAACAUCAAAUUAUAUAUGCAGUCAAUAUACUGUAACAUGUUCAUGGAUGAUGUACUCACUAACUGAUCCUUGUGCUGGUGCAUCAGGUGGUGUAUUGAGGGUGGUGUAUGACGUAGACGUAUCAAUAAUAACAUCUGAGCUGUUAGAAAACAUCGUGGAGCUCUUUGUAAAUGAGGAGGUGGGAACAACAAUGACAGUUUGUGGAGUCAUGCUGGGACUGGGGGGCGGAGCUGAAAAUAACAGACAAGUGAACAUACCAACAAUUAAGAAAGUUAUUACUUUUGGGCAAACAAGGAUUUUCUCAAUAAGAAUAUUUAGAGAAUAAACUCACCAUCAGUGACUUUUAGAUUCACCUUUAUAUAUGAGUCAGGGCCAAAUCUCUCCAGUCCACAAUAGUAUAUAUUGGAGUCUGACUUUUGGAGAUUGCUGAAGGUCACGAACAAGGUUUUUCCUUCGUUAUGUAACUCUAUUCUGUUUUUAUUUUCAAUUUUUCCAUAUGCUGCUUUAAUGAUGAUGUGUCGGUCCUCCGUGCAUGGACUGUAACAAAAGUACUUGACAUUCUCUGUUACAUCAGCCCAAACGUUCCGGUCUGAGCAGCUGAUUGUCACACUUUCACCAACACGACGAUUUAUGUUCAGAGGCUUCAUCUGCACAACACUCAGACCUACAAGCAGAAAUAAAGGAGACAUUUUGCCUUUGUCAUAGUUCAUACGUACAUUUCCUUUGACGUUAGUUUUUACUAUUCAUGACGGCAAAUUUGAAAAAUAAAAUAAACCCCUAAUUGAAUUAUACAUGUUUCAAUCAACAGCUACAUCUUUUGUACGCAAGCUACAGUUUGUGUAAAUGCAGAAGAUACAGAAAAAAACUAACUCACCAGAAAGAAGACAAAAGUAAACAUAGAUUUUUAUCAUCGUGAAAGUGAGAGAGUGAGUGAACGAGUGUGUAGGAAUCAUCAGGUCAGUCAUCACCGUCUUCAUGUCCCUCCUUCACUUCCUCUUACUGUCUCCAGUUGAUGCUCUUCUUCCUCCUGCAACACACAAGCUGUUUCUCAUUUAGUGGCCGUGUUCCUCUAUUGACUCAGCCUCUGAUGUGGACGGGGGGGCGGGUGCUUCUACGAAAGGAAAUGGUCUGGCCUGUGAGGGACUUCCUGUUUGUGGUGGCAACUUUUCCUGUUGCUGCAGCAAGCUUGACAGUAAAGCUUUAUAUUUGAAAAAAUAUAUAAAAUACAGCCAGAUCAUAAUCUUCUCAUUUCAUUUAGGAAGAUUCUUUACCUCAAGAGCAUCAUACCUAUAGAUCAGGCUGAGAGAAGGACACAUUCUGGUCAUUUUAAAUGAAAUCCUAAUAAUCAUUUUCAUUAUAUAAAACAUACAUUUUACAAAUAGUCAAUAUGUGUGUUUUUGAAACAUGGAAUGUACCCAGUAAUAUUAGUAAAUUAAGAUAUCUGCGCAAAAUAUAUGCUUUUCCUGCACGCCCUCUCUGCAUGUCUCAGCUGGGCUCGGGCCGUGUCCCAAAGCGGUGGAUCCAAAACCUAGUUCAUGCUUCUGCGUUUUCAGAGAGACGCAAGGACACUCGCACUCAAGAGCCCGUUGGGCGUCUUUUCACCUCUUCUUGCGUUCUUGCGUGCGUCGACCCAUUUUUCUAGACUAGCGUCAAAAGCUACGCAAGACGUCACUCUUUUGGUCGUCUUCAACAAAAACACGUUACUCCACCUGUUGUUCUGGCGGUGAAUUGCUCUGCAACACACGCAAGACUUUAGAACCAUGAAUUGAAACGAGUGCGUUGACACGACUCUGUGUAAAGACGCAGAAGCAGAAGCAUGCGCCAGCCUUUAGAAGCAGUUUAGCCAAUCACUGAUUAAAGUCAAUGAGUGACACAUCCUUUCAGAGUCCUAAAAUCCAUUGAGUUGUGGGCAGAGCUCUUCACCGCCCUACGCGAGUCUCACACCAGUUAAAACAAGAGUGACCACGAGCAGUGUCCUUCCAAGAAGACCUGACCCGAACUCUGUACCAGAGAAAGGAGAGGUGGAUUUUAUAAGUAUAUUUGUAUUGUAUUUAAUAUUAUAUUUUUAUUAUAUUUAUACAAUAUAGUAGUUAUAUCAUAUUGUUUAUAUAUAGUUAUAUACUGUGUAUAUCUAUCAUUGUACUAAAUUGUUUGAAUAAGAUGUUAAAUACUUAACUGCGAAGUAAUAAUGAAGAAUAAUAAUUGUUUUGCAUUGAAUCAUACUGAGAUGUUUACUGAAACUGAAUGGCUGACCCUAACCCCCCCAAAAGACCCACCAGCUCUAAUAUGACAUCAGCUUUGCUACGGUUUGUUCCUUCUGUGUGUGUGUGUGUGUGUGUGUGUGUGUGUGUGGCUGCAAUCAGCUGGCAUCUGGGCUCCUCAUUGGUCCAUCAUCAAGCCCUCGUCACCGCCAGCUGAAUUAUCCCGGUUUCCGGUUGUCUCAUCGCCCGAUCGUCUCUUCACGUCUGUGGCAGAUAUACUCUCGCCCCGUUAGCCGGUAAUCUUGGUACCGUGUAACAUAACCUGUGUGAUUGUGUCAGUCCAGUACAUCUUCAUACCGCAUCGCCGCCCAGCCAGCACUUUUUACACUUCCUUGUCACUGCUUCCUCAACUGCAUCCAUGUACCCAUAAAAUAAAGCUUUUCUUUCCACCUAACCUGCCGUCUGUCUGCAUUUGGGUCAUUGGUAAACUGGCCGUGACAAGAUCAGGUUCAUAAUUUGUCUACUUGAACUCACGUUGAUCAGUUUCUGUUCAUAAUAACAAGUAUAAACGAUCUUUGAAACGGUCACAACCGCAGUAAGACAUUGAUCAACCUUUUAAAGUGUGAAAGUUAAGGCAGUAAAGUGACUUUUCACUGAUAACUACGGUCGGAAGUUAACAACGUAAAUAACAACCAAAAUCGUGGGCUGGAAGGCUGAAUUCUUUGACUCAGUUUGAAGGAGCAAAGGAACGAGACAGCUCGGACACAGACGAAGGGACGCGAUCCAACUACAACUGCAAUCUCUUGAGGACGCUGCCGCUACACACACACCUACUCGUACUCUCACUGACGCUCAGCCGCAAAGCAAACAGUUGUGGAGGGUGAAAAGAGACGAGACAGGAGACGGAGAUGCGUUGAGUCAGCUUUACUCUCCACUUCAAUAACACAAAACAACACGUGAGAACUACUGCGGACAUGCACGUUAACCUCACAUCAAAACACUUUCCCUUAAAGGUACAGUCCCCUGGUGAAUGUCUCUCCAACACAGUGUAAGAUUAUGUCAGUGUGCACAAAACCAGAUGCCAUUCACAUAAAGAAAAAAAACAUUUAUUCUGAAUUUGAAGAAAAGAAAAGUACACAAUCUAAAUGUAAAAGGCCGACAAUUUGACACUUACAACACAAAAACUAAGUGUGUAUGACACAAUGAAAGAUGAGCAUGUUAGCAGAUUGAGACGCACCAAUUCUAAAACAAAACGUUCUUCUGAGGUCCCAAACUUUACGUUUUCUUUCUGCCCUAAAACGUAAGUCAAGUUUAGAGCAAAUAAAAGGCCAUGACGAAGUGUUUUACCCACAGUCUUCAUCAUUGUUGCGUCACCAGCAGUAUUCAGGGUGGAUGUGUGUAAAUCUUAAGCCACCAAAGGCACCUGGACCUGAAGGCAUCCUCGGCCGAGCUCUUGUGGCUUGUGCAUAACAACUGGCAGAUGUGCUCAGUGAUAUUUAUAACAUUUGUAAUGGUAAAAAUAUGUUAUAACAUUGUUUUGUGCUAAAGCCGUGUCUCAAGUGUCCUGUAUUUGACCCGGACGUGCAAAGAGCAGCAUGAUACAAAAUGUUAGUUUGCAGCUGUGCCCUGAGAAGGGAGGGCGGUCGACUCGAUCUCAUAGAAGCUUCAAAACAUUCAUCAAGACUCUGUUUUAUCAGACAAAUCAUUCUCUUCUACCGAGCUUUUAUUGAAAUAUUCCACAACACAUUUCACUGUAUUCCCCCACAUUCUCCAAAAAGACCACCAUAGUCCCUGUCCCCCAAAAGAGCAAACCCCACUGCCCGAAUGACAAACACAUCCACAGACGCCAGCAAAGCUCUCAGCAUCCACCCAAACCUCCACCUGGACCGGAGGAACACAAAUGGCAAAACGCUGUUCAUUGAGGACCGCUGGCAUCAGCACCAUCGUGGCCUCUAAGCUCGUCAGUGGGCUCAGAGACCUGGGACUUUCCUCCGCCCUCUGUGAUUGGACCAUGAGUGUCCUGACAGGCAAACCCAGGACUGUGCACAAUUUGUCUUCAAAGAAGUUUAUAUAAAACCAAAUACCGACUAGUACAAGUGUGAAGCUGUCCGCUGACAUGGAAUUAUGAAAGUAUGUCCCAAGCUUUAUUUAGCAAAUGCAAAAUACUUAUUUUAUCUUUCAACACUCAGGCAUUUAAUAUUGAUGCAAUAGCUGCUGCUGCAGAGAUCCUUCAAAGUGGGGAUGUAGACUGUCCCUCCCUUUUGUUGGGUGUUAUGGUGCUGUAGACUUGGUCUUUGUCCAUCAUCAAUGGGUGGAGUGAUUGGUAGACUUCAUUAGGACCUGCACCCUUAGGGAACAAGACAUGUUUCAUUAAUGUUAAUAAACUUGUCCCAAAUUAAGCUGAGUGAAAUAAAAUGCAUUUAAUAAAAUGUAGUUGACAUUGAAAAGUAAAACAUUGCAGCAACGUGUCAACAAAGCAAACAUAUGUGAAAGGUGGGACCGUAGGACCGGGGAGCCUCAGCACAGAGCGGGAGGCUUAAACUCAAGGAGAGCCUCUCCAUAUAAAAGGAGAUCCCGUGAGAGUUGAGCAACUCACGUUUGUUCUCGUUGUCCGGCAUGUGCUGAAGUCUGGGUUGCUCUGUUUUUUUGCUCGCCAGUACCGUGUGUGUGAGCAAACUACACUAAGCAGGUAGGUUGUAGAAUUUUAAUCUACAUCCUGUAUACCAUGGGGAAAUUAAUAUAAUGUUUUAUUUCCUAUGAUAGAAUGUCAGACCUGAACCAGACCUGCUGGUGCACAGGUGCCUUGGGCCGAGGAGGGAGGAGGUUGGGCUUGCCAGCACAUUAUGCAUUUUGUAAUGAGUAUGAUGGGUACUCGGUGAUUAGUGGCUGUUUUGUACAUUGCAGGCUGAACUGGUGACACUGAGUGGUGUAAUGGUAAAAAUAUGUUAUAACAUUGUUUUGUGCUAAAGCCGUGUCUGAAGUGUCCUGUAUUUGACCCUGAUGUGCAAAGAGCAGCAUGAUACAAAAUGUUAGUUUGCAGCUGUGCCCUGAGAAGGGAGGACGGUUGACUCGAUCUCAUAGAAGCUUCAAAACAAAGGACUCCUCUUAUUGGCCUUGGUUGAUAUCUUAUUCUGUACGAAAGUUCUGGAUCCAAGUUUUACUUUUAUGUCAAGUAAUAAUGAUUUGCAGCGGCCAUUAAGGAGUAUCUUGUGUGUGUGUGCUACCCUCAGCUUCACCUGGGUUCUUAUCUCAACCUGCUUUGCUGCUUCUCGUAACUGACACAGAGAAUGUCCUCCACAUGUGUAUAAAAACUCAGCGUCUUUAGUGCUCGGAGACGCCAUUUCCACAGAGCACUGUGAUACGUGCCUGUGUAUUUGACCUCCUGCUUGCAAGCAAUAAAUGGACUUUUUGCAACUUUGAUCAUUCAUCAAGACUCGGUUUUAUCAGACAAAUCAUUCUCUUCUACAGAGCUUUUAUUGAAAUAUUCCACAACAAUUUGGCGUCACGAACAGGAUUCACUGACCGUCCGUCAGGCUCCAGGGGACCGUCCGGGGAAAAAGGCCUUUUCCAGGAUCACCAGCUGAUGAUCCUGCCUCAUACCUCCUUAGACAAGAGAGAAAGGACCGGCGGAAACCAGAGGAGUCCUGAUUGACGUCACGUGUAUCCAGCGAAGAAGAAUUAAUUUCUACAAACUCGGGUAAGAAGUUGAAAUUCCGAUUAUAAAGUAACAGUAAGAGUUGAACAUAACGGAGACAGAUGACUGAUCAAGUGGUUGUUAUAGUCUGGGGAAUAAAAUUAUUUUUUAACAUUUUUUUUUUUUUUCCUUAUAAUAAUCUUUUAAUAUCUUUUUUGAGUACAUGAUUCCGGGAUAUUUCUAAUGCAUCAUUUUAUGCGAAGGUAGAUAGGAUCGUGUACGAUUUCACUCGGAACAAAUUCUCCGAGAUCGUAACAUCGCUAGACUACAAGUAGAAGACAGGAUUGCUUACGGUAAAGAUUUCACUCGGAACAAAUUCUCCGAGAUCGUAACGCAGAUAGCAAAUAAGACCGUUGCUAUUGACCACACGUGAAUUCCACCUGUGGAAUAAGAUCGUGGAAAUAGCCUACGUGAAUUUUAUGCUGAAGCAGGUAAAACGAUAUCACUGUUAUUGUUAACCAAACGUGAGUUCUACUGAAUUACCUUUAGAACAAGAUCGUGGCAAAAUCGAAGCGUGAGUUUUGAGUGGGGUUUUUCCUUGAGUAAAGAAACUAAGCCUUACGGUGACGACUGUAUUGUAAUAAGUAAACCGGUAGGGUCCACCAGUAAAAGAUGGGUGGCCAGUCCGCAAAACACACGGAACGUCGGGUCCGAUUGUGGCAAUGAUGCAGCAGAAAUACGGGAAAACAUGUACAGAGUGUCUCCCAUACUGGACAAAAGAGUUUGGGUUUCCAGAAAACGGCUCGUUGAGUGCCGCUAAACUUAAAAUGUUAAGAGGGGAUUUGGAAGAAAGGUUAAAAAAAAAUAAAAAUUGAAAAGUGGUAAAAAGAUCAAAGUUAAAGACUUGGAAAUAAAAGAGAAAAACCAGACAUGUCUGGCACAAUGGGAAAUGGAAUGUGAAUGCAGGGAGAGAAA
Gasterosteus aculeatus aculeatus (three-spined stickleback) is the source of this 6835-nucleotide long non-coding RNA. The record is from Ensembl. NCBI's taxonomy places the organism in Eukaryota, Metazoa, Chordata, Actinopteri, Perciformes, Gasterosteidae.